GACCAGAUAGUUUGCAUAAUCGGCAAACCAAGGCACUCCGUUGAAAGCGAGGAUCUGUUCAUCGACGAACUCGUCCUUUAUUGGACGCUUGUCUUCUGUCUCUUCGAUAGGUGAUAUACGGGAGAGGUGAUCGGCAACAGUGUUCUCACAUCCUUUCUUGUCACGAAUCUCCACAUCAAACUCUUGAAGGAGUAAGAUCCAC
RNAcentral lists this long non-coding RNA (202 nucleotides) under Lathyrus oleraceus (garden pea). Its description in RNAcentral is "Pisum sativum (pea) long non-coding RNA (PSAT_LNC018989)". Lineage: Eukaryota; Viridiplantae; Streptophyta; Magnoliopsida; Fabales; Fabaceae. The record is from RNAcentral.